Molecule: ribosomal RNA, 251 nt
Filed under: uncultured bacterium
Lineage: Bacteria
Description: partial 16S ribosomal RNA
Rfam family: Bacterial small subunit ribosomal RNA
Source: RNAcentral
ACGUAGGUCACAAGCGUUGUCCGGAAUUACUGGGUGUAAAGGGAGCGCAGGCGGGAGAACAAGUUGGAAGUGAAAUCCAUGGGCUCAACCCAUGAACUGCUUUCAAAACUGUUUUUCUUGAGUAGUGCAGAGGUAGGCGGAAUUCCCGGUGUAGCGGUGGAAUGCGUAGAUAUCGGGAGGAACACCAGUGGCGAAGGCGGCCUACUGGGUACCAACUGACGCUGAGGCUCGAAAGUGUGGGUAGCAAACAG